RNAcentral lists this long non-coding RNA (4963 nucleotides) under Malus domestica (apple). Its description in RNAcentral is "long non-coding RNA (MDOM_LNC017701)". Lineage: Eukaryota; Viridiplantae; Streptophyta; Magnoliopsida; Rosales; Rosaceae. The record is from RNAcentral.
CAUCCUCAUCUCCGCUACACCCAUUUUGUGUACGUGUUGAUGCUUCACCGCCCAACAUUCUGUGCCAUACAACAUCGCUGGCCUUAUUGCCGUCCUAUAAAAUUUUUCCUUGAGCUUCAGUGGCCUACGACGGUCACACAACACGCCGGAUGCACUCUUACACUUCAUCCAUCCAGCUUGUAUUCUAUGGUUGAGAUCUCCAUCUAAUUCUCCAUUCUCUUGCAAGAUAGAUCUUAGGUAGCGAAAACGGUCACUUUUUGUGAUCUUCGCUAGAUUGCUCCGGUCAUUAGUGUGGAUAAGUAUAUAAAUAGAUAGAAUUAGGAAAGCAAACACAAGAUAUAUGUGGUUCACCCAGAUUGGCUACGUCCACAGAAUAGAGGAGUUCUCAUUAAUUGUGAAGGGUUUACACAAGUACAUAGGUUCAAGCUCUCCUUUAGUGAGUACAAGUGAAUGAUUUAGUACAAAUGACAUUAGGAAAUAUUGUGGGAGAAUGAUCUCGUAACCACGAAACUUCUAAGUACCGGAGUGUGGUAUCGUCUUGACUUGCCUUAUCUGUCUCAUAGGUAGAUGUGGCAUCUUCUCUGGAAGUACUCUUCCUCCAUCCAGGGGUGGUAUCUGUAACUGGUAGAGAUGCACAAGGUAAUGUAUCAAUUUCACUUGAAGCUUACUUGUAGUUUCAGGCUUGGUCAAGCGCGAUACAAACCAUGUAGUAGGAGUCCCCCAAGUCGCCGGGCUAGGGGAUCUGCUGAAAGAGGUGACAGACAAGGUAAGCAAUCAGAGCUCCAGCUGGUUGUUCACAUUCUCCCUAUCUUGCAGGCAGCAUGAAGGAUAAAGAGAAGAAAAAUGAGAAGAGAUGAUAUGGGAUACUUUUGCUUUUGAAGAAGUAACUUUCCACAGGCUUAUUCUUGAACCGGGCUGCAGGGUUUUCUGGUUUCAUCCAGAGUAUAAGGCCGACUGAAGAAUUUGAGGGUCAAAACAAGUCCAUCAAAUCUAGAGUACGUUCGACCCUGCUGAUAUGGGAUACUUUUGCUUUUGACAGAGUAGUGGAUGUAUCGGCACGUGUGCUGUUACGCUUGUCUCCCCAUGCUUCUUUGUAUCCUUCUCACUUGCCCUAUUUGUUCCUCAGGCAGAUGCGGUAUCUUCCCUGGAAGCAUAAGAUGUUGAAGAUGAGUACUCGAGAGCAAUGCCAGGUAAGUAAUCAGGUAAGGGGUUCCAGGCAGUCAGUUCCUGGCUGGAAGCUUGAUUCCAAGUGCUGACUGAUUGCUCUCGUUCUCCUUGUCUUGCAGGUAAGAACAAGGCCAAAGGAAAAGACAGGGAAAAAGCAUGAUAUGGGAUACUCUUGCUUUUAACCCUGAUGAUAUGAGAUAUUCUUGCUCUAGUAUAGCUUGUUUACAGAGGUAUUAUCGGGGGGAAAGAAAGCUGAAUAUUUCGAAAAGCUUCGUUGGGAGUGCCCUCUCAGAUAAGAGAAAGGGUUGAGCAUUUUUGCAGGUCUGCCUGUCCGUUAGGGAUGGAGGUCGACAUAUAUAGGAGUCUCCCUAACAUCAAGUAAUAAUGCUAUUCCUUUACCCUGCUUGGUCAUAACACGGUAGUGGGAGCUGCCAGCUUCACGUGUUUUAACUCUGUCAGAGCACUUUGAAAAAGUGGUCUGUGGUAUCUGGAAAGCUGAUGUUGCGUGUGAAGAUUACAGACAAGCUUUAUCCAAGGAGAUCCAGCUCUUGAAGUUGGGAAAGUGGUGCCUCUUCGGUUUUCGAACAAGCAAUCCUGUCGAGGAUCUGGCUCUCGAGAUUCGGAGAACGAUGCCUCUUCGAUUUUUGAGAAAGCAAUCCUGCUGGGGGUCUGGCUCUCGAGAUUCGGAGAGCGGUGUCUCUUCGAUUUUUGAGAAAGUAAUCAUGUUGGGAGUCUGGCUCUCGAGAUUCGGAGGGCGGUGCCUCUUCGAUUUUGGAGCAAGCAAUCUUGUUGGGAGUGUUUUCUCGAAUGUGAGUAAAGGUUGGGCAUGUUUGCUAGUCUACCUUGCCACGAAGCACAGAGGUUGACACACAGGGACUUUCCAAUUAUCCAGCAGUGGUACUGUUCCUUUACCCUCUCUUCGAUUUUUGAGAAAGUAAUCAUGUUGGGAGUCUGGCUCUCGAGAUUCGGAGGGCGGUGCCUCUUCGAUUUUGGAGCAAGCAAUCUUGUUGGGAGUGUUUUCUCGAAUGUGAGUAAAGGUUGGGCAUGUUUGCUAGUCUACCUUGCCACGAAGCACAAAGGUUGACACACAGGGACUUUCCAAUUAUCCAGCAGUGGUACUGUUCCUUUACCCUCUCUUCGAUUUUUGAGAAAGUAAUCAUGUUAGGAGUCUGGCUCUCGAGAUUCGGAGGGCGGUGCCUCUUUGAUUUUGGAGCAAGCAAUCCUGUUGAGAGUGUUUUCUUGAAUGUGAGUAAAGGUUGGCAUGUUUGCUAGUCUACCUUGCCACGAAGCACAGAGGUUGACACACCGGGACUUUCCAAUUAUCCAGCAGUGGUACUGUUCCUUUACCCUUGUGGGUAAUAAUAUGGUAGCUAGACCUUCAAAAUUUAUGUGUCUAAACUUUGUUAGUGUUGUUUCUUUGCAAUUCUUUUACCCUUCUUGGUCAGAGCGAUGUAGCGGGAGCUGCAAGCUUCACGUGUCUCAACUUUAUCAGAGAACUUUGGCAAAGUUAUUUGUGGUACCCAUGAGUUACUGUUGCGUAUGGGAAGUGAACAGUACGAUUCAUGUGCUUUCUACUUCGCCAGAAAUCUUCAACAGAAUGCCCAUAAUUUCCGCAAAGCUGAGUGUGCGUGUGACAAGUGCUGACAAGGCUGGAAAAGUAGGUGCCUCUUCGAUUUCUGAGAUCGACCUUCGUGGUCUCUUAGCAGCCCAGCUUUUGAGAAAGCAAGCCUCUUCGAUUUCUGAUAUCGGCCUUCGUGGUCUUUGAGCAGCCCAGCUUUUGAGAAAGCAAACGCCUCUUCGAUUUCUGAGAUCGACCCUCGAGGUCUCUGAGCAGCCCAGCUUUUGAGAAAGCAAACGCCUCUUCGAGUUCUGAGCAGGCGCUUCUUCGAUUUCUGAAGUUUCGUCGAGUGCAGAUUUUUAUAGGGGCUGACAUUAAGUUCCAAAGCACACUUAAAUAUCCACCAGUAGAAGCUCCAUUCUUGCACUUCUAAGAUCUUGAUUUAUCCGACCUCUUCUCUCUUCAACACCUUUGAAAAAUGUCUGGCCCCUCCGACCGUCGUUUUGACUUGAACCUUGUUGAAGAGGCAGCCCCGCCUUCUCCAGACAACAUAUGGCGCCCAUCCUUCGUCCUUCGUCUCCCUACUGGUCCUCUUACCGUUGGGGAUUCCGUGAUGAAAAAUGAUAUGACCGCUGCGGUAGUGGCCAGGAACCUUCUCACUCCUAAAGAUAACAGACUACUUUCCAAACGGUCUGAUGAGUUGGCUGUUAAGGAUUCUCUGGCUCUCAGUGUUCAGUGUGCAGGUUCUGUGUCUAAUAUGGCCCAACGCCUAUUUGCUCGAACCCGCCAAGUUGAAUCAUUGGCGGCUGAAGUGAUGAGUCUCAAACAGGAGAUUAGAGGGCUCAAGUAUGAGAAUAAACAGUUGCACCGGCUCGCACAUGACUAUGCUACAAACAUGAAGAGGAAGCUUGACCAGAUGAAGGAAUCUGAUGGUCAGGUUUUACUUGAUCAUCAGAGAUUUGUGGGUUUGUUCCAAAGGCAUUUAUUGCCUUCGUCUUCUGGGGCUGUACCGCGUAAUGAAGCUCCAAAUGAUCAACCUCUGAUGCCUCCUCCUUCUAGGGUUUUGUCCAGUACUGAGGCUCCGAAUGAUCCCCCUCUGGUGCCUUCUCUUUCUGGGGCUCUACCGACUGCUGAGACUUCUCCUAAGCAACCUUUGUGAAGGCUCCCUCUUGUUUGUUUAUUUUGACUCAAGUAUAUGUACAUAUUUGUAACUUAUCGGGGAUAUCAAUAAAUAAGUUUUCCUUCAUUUCAACGUAUUGUGUUAAAUACACCAAAACCUUCUUCGCUAAGUUCUUUGAAUUUUCUUUUGUUGAAGCUUGUAUGUUGAAGCUUUGUGAGUGGAGCAUGUAGGUUGAGGUAGUGUUCCCUUAAUUUCCCGAGUGAGGAAAACUUCUCGGUUGGAGACUUGGAAAAUCCAAGUCACUGAGUGGGAUCGGCUAUAUGAAUCUUAGAACGCCAUUGUGUUCUGUCCUGUGUCAUGUCCUCCGUUAGAUCCAAGUACUCUAAGUCUUUUCUUAGAGUCUCUUCCAAAGUUUUCCUAGGUCUUCCUCUACCCCUUCGGCCCUGAACCUCUGUCCUAUAGUCGCAUCUUCUAAUCGGAGCGUCAGUAGGCCUUCUUUGCACAUGUCCAAACCACCGUAACCGAUUUUCUCUCAUCUUUCCUUCAAUUUCGGCUACUCCUACUUUACCCCGGAUAUCCUCAUUCCUAAUCUUAUCCUUUCUCGUGUGCCCACACAUCCAACGAAGCAUCCUCAUCUCCGCUACACCCAUUUUUGUGUACGUGUUGAUGCUUCACCGCCCCAACAUUCUGUGCCAUACAGCAUCGCCGGCCUUAUGCCGUCCUAUAAAAUUUUCCCUUGAGCUUCAGUGGCAUACGGCGGUCACACAACACGCCGGAUGCACUCUUCCACUUCAUCCAUCCAGCUUGUAUUCUAUGGUUGAGAUCUCCAUCUAAUUCUCCGUUCUUUUGCAAGAUAGAUCCUAGGUAACGAAAACGGUCGCUCUUUGGUAUUUCUUGAUCUCCGAUCCUCACCCCUAACUCGUUUUGGCCUCCAUUUGCACUGAACUUGCACUCCAUAUAUUCUGUCUUUGAUCGGCUCAGGCGAAGACCUUUAGAUUCCAACACUUCUCUCCAAAGGUUAAGCUUUGCAUUUACCCCUUCCUGAGUUUCAUCUAUCAACACUAUAUCGUCUGCGAAAAGCAUACACCAAGGAAUAUCAUCUUGAAUAUGUCCUGUUA